This 253-nucleotide ribosomal RNA is filed under the name uncultured bacterium. RNAcentral's name for it is "partial 16S ribosomal RNA". It matches the Rfam family "Bacterial small subunit ribosomal RNA", at positions 524 to 776 of the family's 1533-position model. The record is from RNAcentral.
UACGUAGGGUGCAAGCGUUGUUCGGAAUUACUGGGCGUAAAGGGCUCGUAGGCGGCCAACUAAGUCAGACGUGAAAUCCCUCGGCUUAACCGGGGAACUGCGUCUGAUACUGGAUGGCUUGAGAUUGGGAGAGGGAUGCGGAAUUCCAGGUGUAGCGGUGAAAUGCGUAGAUAUCUGGAGGAACACCGGUGGCGAAGGCGGCAUCCUGGACCAACACUGACGCUGAGGAGCGAAAGCCAGGGGAGCAAACGGG